GUCAGGGUGGCCGAGUGGUC
Molecule: non-coding RNA, 20 nt
Filed under: Arabidopsis thaliana (thale cress)
Lineage: Eukaryota; Viridiplantae; Streptophyta; Magnoliopsida; Brassicales; Brassicaceae
Source: RNAcentral